Molecule: ribosomal RNA, 403 nt
Filed under: uncultured bacterium
Lineage: Bacteria
Description: partial 16S ribosomal RNA
Rfam family: Bacterial small subunit ribosomal RNA
Source: RNAcentral
AUUGAACGCUGGCGGCAGGCCUAACACAUGCAAGUCGAGCGAGCGGCGGACGGGUGAGUAAUGUAUGGGGACCGCCCUAUCGAGGGGGAUAACAACUGGAAACGGAAGCUAAUUUAGUACACUAUCGGAUAGGACAUAUGGGAUUAGCUAGUAGGUGGGGUAAUGGCUCACCUUGGCGACGAUCCCUAGCUGGUCUGUGAGGAUGAUCAGCCACACUGGGACUGAGACACGGCCCAGACUCCUACGGAGGCAGCAGUGGAGAAUAUUGCACAAUGGGCGCAAGCCUGAUGCAGCCAUGCCGCGUGUAUGAAGAAGGCCCUAGGGUUGUAAAGUACUUUCAGUCGGGAGGCGUUACCGACAGAAGAAGCACCGGCUAACUCCGUGCCAGCAGCCGCGGUAAUUC